Lolium perenne is the source of this 3490-nucleotide non-coding RNA. Lineage: Eukaryota; Viridiplantae; Streptophyta; Magnoliopsida; Poales; Poaceae. The record is from RefSeq and is a predicted model, not a curated record.
UGGUUUGUAAAUGUUUCUCACUUUCUUAGUUUAUAAAACAACAUGUAUUUAUUGGUAAGUAUUUUAUUUAAUUUGUAAAAAAAAUAGUCACACAUAAACGCACUAAUAUGAGUAUGUACAUGUUUUAAUUCAAUUAAGUUAUAGUCAGGGACAUACAGACAUAUCUAGUGAAUGAGUCACUAGGCUUAGAGUUGGACCAAUUCGCAUAUACGUAUGUACAUGGUCGAGUCCAACGUAGCCCAGCCUCUCACGUCGCUCUUGAUUCACUUCUCACAAACAAUUCCCCACGAGACCACGACUACACGCGACCUGGCUCCCUCCCGGCGAUGUGGCCGCCGCGCUGGGAUUCCAGCCGGUCGCCGGCCCCCUCCGCCGCCGCCACAAGUCGGCGAACCACUCGCUCGACCUCCUUCAUGGGUUCCUCGCCGCCAAGAUGCUCUCCUCCCCCACAUCGAUUCUCUCACGGGUAUGCGACGCCGUCGCCGCUUGGCAUUGGUCCGGCCGCCACCGCCGCCUGCUUACUCCGACGUAGGCGGGAUGGGAGUUUCGCUCGCGUCGACUUGCUCUACAACCCCCGCCUGUUUGAUUUGAUUUUCGUGGUUCCUCAAUUUCGUCCCUGGCCCCGGAACCCUAGCUCCGUCUCCUGUAUCUCCGGCUAUCGCCGGUCGAUUCCGGCGCCGCCUCUCCCCGUCUUGACGGCGCCACGGAACUCUCUACCAUUGCCCGCCUCCCUGGCGCCGUCCUACGCCCGCGCGCGCGGCCUGGUCCUCAUGGCCGCCCCGUCGCCAGGCAUGGCUCCGGCUGAUUUCGGCCUUCUCCGCCGCCGCUGCUCUCCAUUGGCGACCCCGCUAUCUUUACCUGCAGCUCCCCUUCACUGACUCAACUCAGCACCUGCCUCUCACGCUCGAUGGAAACCCUUGCUGCUGCUGGUGGUUCUGGCCAUCGCCGGCCUCGGCGAGCACCGCCGUUUGCGGUCGCGCCGCUUCUCUGGCUGCUCCCGCACGUCGACGAGCUGCUGCUCUGGCGUGGUCAUUUGCGCCUCCGCUCCUUGCUGUCAUUCGACCUCAUUACUGACCACUACCUCUGUUUCCCUCUUUGGCUCGCCAUGAUCUGACGGUGGUGAUGGUUCUAGUUGUGUGUCGACCACGGUCUUGACGCCGGCGGGACGGCUACUGGUGUGCAACCCCGGCGUCCAUGUACUGGUGGUGCUGUGCUGUGCUGUGCUGUGACCACUACUUCGUCCUCGACGCCGGCUGGACGGUGCCGUGGACGCAACCUCGGCAUCAACUAUUGUGCUUAUUUCUCUGCUGCAAUCACUGUGAGCGAAUUCACUCCCCUCUCACUAUGUCUCUGACCUUGUUUUAAUUUAAAUUGUACUAGUGGCUUAUCUCCCUCUAGUUGUUGGCUGUGAUACAAGCAUAUGUGCUUAAAAAUGUUUGGGUGACUUGGUACUGGUUAUGUGAUAUGCUAAUAAGGCUUUGCUCCAAGGGAUCUCCGCCAUGUGCUUGAUUGGUUGCUCCAGUUUAGUUGUUGUGGUCAUGAAUUUGUGUGUGCUAGGCCUGAUUAUCGCAUAUGCUUGGGAAUACUGAUUCAUGUGCUAUAUGACUUGUAAAUUUAUCAGUCAAGUACUUAUUCUAGUGAGCUAUAUCAUAUGUUUAAGAGUGGUUAGCUAGUAUGUGCUUUGUAAGUAUCCUAUAUGUUGCUAAAAUGCUGCAGUGCAUACUUUGGAUAAGAUCAGAUACACAUACUUGGAAGUACUGCUUGCAUGCUUCUUGAACAUUUGAAUUUGGUUGGUGGUGUGCAAAAUAUUGAGAUAUAUUCUCUGUGUAGAUGUUUUAACUCAUCUCUGGCAUUGGUAAAUGGCUGCUAUCUCACGGCUAAGGAAGCUGAAUAUCCACUACAAUAUGCACUAUUUACUUGAUGCUUGGUUGGGUGGUUUGACUGUGAGCUUAUGGCAUGCAUUUCAUACUGGAUUGAGAUGGUCCAUGAAUCAUUUUAUCGGUGUUAUGGAUUGGAAUAGAUAUGUGUAUGCUGCCCUCACAGAUGGUUUCUCUCGUUUUAGUUACAAACUGAAAAGAACAGAUCCUGUGCUGGAUUUCGUGGCCCUGCCUGUGAUGCAAAGGCUGAGGCACAAUUUAUUUGAUAAGAACAGAUACUGCUUGUGCCUUAAGUUCUCUGUGAUGAAUUUGAAUAGCACUUCUAUUCAAGACUGAGAGAAAACAAUCCCUCCAAUCCUCCUAGAUAGAAUCUGGUGCAAGGGUAGUUGGAUUGGUUGUCUGUGUAUUAUUUCUUUUUUUUUCCCCCCUUAUUGAUGUGCUCAUGCAAAACUAAGAACAGAUGCUAUGCUUAAUUUGUUGCCUAACAACCUGCUGUUGGAGAGUAGCUUUAUCUUGCUUGAUGUUGAUCUGGCUUUGUUUCUGAUCUUGGCUUCCACCUCCUCCAUGAGUUGUGCCUGCUCCUCCUGGGCUCUUAUUGUCACCAUGGUUCUCCUUGCAACUUUGGCUGUGAUCUUGAUACUGAUCUCCUAAAUGGUUGCCUAGGAAGGAUUUGUGGUUUUGGCUGUUGAACUGAAGUUGAUUUUCUUGUGGAUCAUGAGGUGUUCUUGCUGUUCUAACUACUGGGAUGGAACUGCGGGUGUGCUUUAGUGAAACCAAAGCCAAAUGGUUUGGCUGGCUGUGAUGCCCUUGCUUUUAUAGUACUGGGCUUCUGUCUGUGGUGUCGACAGCUAUGCCAUGCAAGCUGGUGAGUGUGCUGCUUAAGGAUGGACCCCACUUGUGCAUGUGGCCAAGUUGGUUUUCCUUGCCUGCUAGUGCAAGGCACGGCAGGGCUUGUGCUUAGCUAGAACUGUCAUGUAUUUUUGAUACUGCCAGAUGUAUUACUCCUAUUGAUCUGUUGGCAUGUGAGCUUAACAUUAUACCUCUGAACUUUAAUAUGUGGGCUAAUGGUUCAUCUUGACACUUUAAUGUCAUUGGUGGAUUACUUAAAUUAAAACAUGUGGGCUUUAUGGUUUCUAGCUAGAUUAGAGGGAGAUUAAGAUAAUAUAGCAUGGUUGCCUAGAAUUGAACGGAAUCAAUCAAUUGUUGUCUGCUUGUCCCUUGUUGCCUGAGAGAUGAUUAGUGAUUGUCAAUGAAAAUGCCUCGUUGUUGCCUUUUAUGGAAUAGUGAUCAGCCUUCUCGGAUUGUCUCUUGUUGCCUAUUAAAGAUUUACUCCCUCUAAUCACCGUUUGGGUAUUAAGACAAGUUCUUAAUUCCUAAUAGCUAGUUCCAAUAUUAAAAUGUCUCCCAAAAUGCGGAGACAGACAUUUUAACCUUAACACAACAUUUCUUUGUCUUUAUUGUUUAUUUUGCAGCUAGAGGAUAAGAAAAUUGGGAAGAUUUGGAAUAUGAAGAUUUAGUUUAGAAAUUUCUUGUAUUCAUUUAUAAUUUUCUAUUUCUUUUCUAACUUGUAAUUUAUUGAAUAAUGUUAUUUGUAAUAAAGUUUGAAUUAUUUA